Molecule: non-coding RNA, 422 nt
Organism: Schizosaccharomyces pombe (fission yeast)
Lineage: Eukaryota; Fungi; Ascomycota; Schizosaccharomycetes; Schizosaccharomycetales; Schizosaccharomycetaceae
Source: the annotation of a GenBank genome assembly
UAGUUAAAAAAAAGAAAAUCGUUUCAAUUGAGUUUGUAAAAGUAUGUGUUUGAAAUGUAGUAGCCAUGAAGGAUGAGGAAUAUAAAAGCAAUGCACUCCAUCUUGCGUUCAAAGGUACGAUGUUCCAAAUACUCAAAUCUGCCAAAAUUAGUCAAGGAAGGAGGAAAUAAGGUUUGUAGUAAAUUCUGAAAUAAAUUCCAAAUUUAUCAGAGCUUAAUAUUCGCCAAUGUACAUACCUAUUAACAAAGAGAUCAAACACAUAUAGAGUCUAGUGAACAACAAAAUAGGAUACGGAGAGCAGUUCGCUUUUGGAUAUGUAAGAAUUUCGUUCAAUUUAAAAUACACUUACAUUUGCAAAUACACCGGCAAAGCAAGAAAAUAGGUAAAAGCAUCACAUUCAAAGGAACUACAGACCGAAUUGG